This 1876-nucleotide long non-coding RNA is filed under the name Homo sapiens (human). Its description in RNAcentral is "non-protein coding lnc-H6PD-3:2". Lineage: Eukaryota; Metazoa; Chordata; Mammalia; Primates; Hominidae. The record is from RNAcentral.
CCAGGCUGAUCUCAAACUCUUGAACUCAAGCAAUCCUCCUGCCUCGGCCUCUCAAAGUGCUGGGAUUACAGGCAUGAGCUGCCACCGUGCCGACCUCUAACUUCAAAACAGAUCCAGACUCUGGGUACUUCUGCCACCUUCUGCCACUGCCCCCGUGUCCAGGCCACGUCACCACGUCUCUGGAUGGGCUCCCUCCUCCGCCUCUGCCACCCCCUCCUGCUCCCCCCUACAGUCCAUUCUCAACACAGAAGCAGCAGGGCUGCUUGAAAACCCGAGUCUGCUCCAGUCACACACACACACACACACACCACCCAUAAAAGAAAGGGUUGUUUUAAAACUCAUGACAGGCCAGGCGAGGUGGCUCACGCCCGAAUCCCAGGACUUUUGGGACUUUGGGAGGCCAAGACAGGUGGACCACCUGAGGUCAGGAGUUCGAGACCAGCCUGGCCAACAUGGUGAAACUCCGUCUCUACCAAAAAUACAAAAAUUAGCCAGGUGUGGUAGUGCGUCCCUGUAAUCCCAUCUUAGUGGGAGGCUGAGGCGGGAGAAUCCCCUGAAUCCAGGAGGUGGAGCUUGCAGUGAGCUGAGAUUGCGCCACUGAACUCCAGCCUGGGUGACGAAGUGAGACUGUCUCAAAAAAAAAAAAAAAAAAAGUAAUCGGCUCUUCAAGUGCCACCACGCCAAUCCUCUAGUCAUAAUGUGCUGUUCCUCGUUACUUUACAGUUGCAGGAUUCCGCUAAGGAAUUCUGGGAAGGAGGUGAGCACUGUAUGUAGGAACAGUCCCCCUGCAGGAGGCUGGUCUGGAGCUGGGGGUCACUCAAAUAGGGGAUUCCCCUCUGAGUUGGGCCUGGGAGGGUCACGGUCGGCACAGCACUCCUUUGGGCUCCCUCUGCAUCCCGACGGGCCCUCAUGGGAAACCGGGGGACCACACGGAACCGCACUCUGUAACUUUAGGGUUGCAGUACUAAAGCUACAAGGCGGUAGAUUUCUUCUGUGAUACUGAGUUUGUGCUGGGAAAUAACCAAAGGGAAGGUCAAAUAGGCAGAGGGUUUUGAAAGGGUUAAGAAUGUGGGUUUAAAUUAGCCAGGCGUGGCAGUACACACCUGUAAUCCCAGCUACUCAGGAGGCUGAGGCAGGAGAAUCAUCUGAACCUGAGAGGCAGAGGUUGCAGUGAGCCAAGAUUGUGCCACUGCACUUCAGCCUGGGUGACAGAGCGAGACUCCGUCUCAAAAAAAAAAAAAAAAAAAAAAGAAUAAAAGAAUAUGGGCCUGAUCAACAGGGAGGGGUUGUUUGAACACACAGAAGGAGCAGCUGUGUGAGGGCCAGAAGCUGCCAGAGGGUGGUAUUUGAGAGAGAGGAGGUAAGAGGUAGAAUCAGGGAGCCGGUGGAAAUGGAGAGGGUGGAAUGGUCCACUGAUCCUGCAAAGCGGGCUGAGCCAGACUGACUCAUGUACAGGCAUGGACAGUGGUGUGUUGGGAACAUUUCACAACUGGCUCUCCAGAAAAACAUAGACGUGUGCAUGUGUGCAUGUAUGCAUGUUUACACACACACACAUAUAAAUGUAUAAAUUUCACCUGCAGGAUGUGAAGCAUACAAUUUAUAAAUAAUAAUAAAGUAUACAAUAAUAAUACUCCUUCUUUAUUGUCCAUUUCAUGCAGCCAAUUGAUUCUCACAGAAUGCUUUUGUUGAUUUCAGCCAAACCCUGGAUUUUGCCAACCUGUGGAUGCAAUCAGCAAAUGAGAGCGCUCCGUGGCAUGAAGUUAAUUGAUGCUUUCAUUUCCCUUAACGGGAUGAAAAUGAAGUAAGGAAGACAUAGAAAACAAGACAUAUGUUGGUUGCUCAUGUCACUGGUUGGUGACAUGAGCAACUUCUUUGC